AAUCAACAAAUAAGCGAUGUAAAAGAUUGUUAUCAGUGAGGUAAU
RNAcentral lists this non-coding RNA (45 nucleotides) under Trypanosoma brucei brucei. The record is from RNAcentral. Lineage: Eukaryota; Euglenozoa; Kinetoplastea; Trypanosomatida; Trypanosomatidae.